This is a non-coding RNA of Schizosaccharomyces pombe (fission yeast), 575 nucleotides long. The record is from the annotation of a GenBank genome assembly. Lineage: Eukaryota; Fungi; Ascomycota; Schizosaccharomycetes; Schizosaccharomycetales; Schizosaccharomycetaceae.
UGUAAAUUGAUUUAUAUUUCCUUUUUGAGUAAUGUUAACAAAAAACUAGCUCUUUUGCCUAUAACCCUCUAAGAUUAACACACCCUGUUAUGCCGUUUUCUAGAUGUAGUUACUUCUUUUUUAUUUAACCGAGCUGAAUUUCUCAAUAUUAAAUCCUUAAAAUCUGGCAAAGAUGAAAAAAAUAUUAAUGUAUAGUAAAGGUAAAUAAGUUGCUCUGGAUAAAUUGGCUGAACACUGGAAGUCCGAGGCUAUAGGUUUCAAGCUGUCUAUAAUUUCGAUUCGUCCAAUCUGUGUUAAAAACUUGGUUUUAGUCGUUCACUGUUGUUUGCGUUGUCUGUCGGAGACCCUUUUCGUCCUCUUCAACAGGUAGCUGGCUUUCGUAAAAUUUUCGUAACUCUUGUUGUCGCUUUAGGUCUUCAAACCUUUCUUUUUUAAUUCUUUUCCUUUCAUCAUCUUUUUGAACUCCCGCCGACAUUUUCUAUACUUACAUUAGCUAUGGUGCAUAUUUUCUUUAAUAUAAGUAAAUAUUACCUCUCGUUCAAUAAUCUGAUUAUUAUGUACGAAAUAAACCAUGU